Molecule: non-coding RNA, 357 nt
Organism: Thalassolituus oleivorans MIL-1
Lineage: Bacteria; Pseudomonadati; Pseudomonadota; Gammaproteobacteria; Oceanospirillales; Oceanospirillaceae
Rfam family: Bacterial RNase P class A
About the family: Ribonuclease P (RNase P) is a ubiquitous endoribonuclease, found in archaea, bacteria and eukarya as well as chloroplasts and mitochondria. Its best characterised activity is the generation of mature 5'-ends of tRNAs by cleaving the 5'-leader elements of precursor-tRNAs.
Source: Rfam
GGAGUUGACUAGGCAGUCGCCGCUUGCGUAAGCAAGGGGAGGAAAGUCCGGGCUUCAUAGGGCAGAGUGCCAGGUAACGCCUGGGAGGCGCGAGCCUACGACAAGUGCAGCAGAGAGCAAACCGCCGAUGGCUAUCUUCGGAUAGCACAGGUAAGGGUGAAAGGGUGCGGUAAGAGCGCACCGCGCGACUGGCAACAGUUCGUGGCAUGGUAAACUCCACUCGAAGCAAGACCAAAUAGGUUCCCUAUAGGCGCGGCCCGCGCUGGGAACGGGUAGGUUGCUUGAGCCUGUGAGUGAUUGCAGGCCUAGACGAAUGACUGUUCAAGACAGAACCCGGCUUAUCGGCUGACUCCAAAA